UUGGAGGGCAAGUCUGGUGCCAGCAGCCGCGGUAAUUCCAGCUCCAAUAGCGUAUAUUAAAGUUGUUGCAGUUAAAAAGCUCGUAGUUGAAUUUCGGAAUCAAUAUGUUGGUCGUGCCAUUGGUACGUACUGGCAUUAUUGGUUUCUACCUUCUGAAGAACCUCGAUGUCAUUAAUUUGGUGUCUUGGGGAAUCAGGACUGUUACUUUGAAAAAAUUAGAGUGUUUAAAGCAGGCUCGCGCUUGAAUACAUUAGCAUGGAAUAAUGAAAUAGGACGUUUGAUUCUAUUUUGUUGGUUUCUAGGAUCGACGUAAUGAUUAAUAGGGAUAGUUGGGGGCAUUAGUAUUCAAUUGUCAGAGGUGAAAUUCUUGGAUUUAUUGAAGACUAACUACUGCGAAAGCAUUUGCCAAGGAUGUUUUCAUUAAUCAAGAACGAAAGUUAGGGGAUCGAAGACGAUCAGAUACCGUCGUAGUCUUAACCAUAAACUAUGCCGACUAGGGAUCGGAUGAUGUUAAUUUUUUAAUGACUCAUUCGGCACCUUACGGGAAAC
This 549-nucleotide ribosomal RNA is filed under the name uncultured Glomus. RNAcentral's name for it is "SSU rRNA". It matches the Rfam family "Eukaryotic small subunit ribosomal RNA", at positions 548 to 1098 of the family's 1831-position model. Lineage: Eukaryota; Fungi; Glomeromycota; Glomeromycetes; Glomerales; Glomeraceae. The record is from RNAcentral.